AUUGCACUUGUUCGUGAGAAUAGGUGCAAUUGCCUAAAUGAAUGUCUUCAGAAGAUGACAAACCUGUGGGGCGUAAGUAGAAUGCAUAUCGUGUCUUUAUACCAUUGAAUACGGUAAUAGUGGAUAAAGUGCGAGAUAUCCGUAUUUGUGUUCUAUGAUCGUGCAGACGUUAAAAUCAGGU
Molecule: non-coding RNA, 181 nt
Filed under: unclassified sequences
Source: RNAcentral